Molecule: ribosomal RNA, 253 nt
Filed under: uncultured bacterium
Lineage: Bacteria
Description: partial 16S ribosomal RNA
Rfam family: Bacterial small subunit ribosomal RNA
Source: RNAcentral
UACGGAGGGGGCUAGCGUUGUUCGGAAUUACUGGGCGUAAAGGGCGCGUAGGCGGUUCGUUAAGUCCUGUGUGAAAUCCCCCGGCUCAACUGGGGAACUGCACAGGAAACUAGCGGGCUUGAGUUCGGGAGAGGGAAGCGGAAUUCCGGGUGUAGCGGUGAAAUGCGUAGAUAUCUGGAGGAACACCGGUGGCGAAGGCGGCAUCCUGGACCGGUAUUGACGCUGAGGCGCGAAAGCUAGGGGAGCAAACGGG